This 496-nucleotide ribosomal RNA is filed under the name uncultured bacterium. Its description in RNAcentral is "partial 16S ribosomal RNA". It matches the Rfam family "Bacterial small subunit ribosomal RNA", at positions 29 to 507 of the family's 1533-position model. The record is from RNAcentral.
AUGAACGCUGGCGGCGUGCCUCAUACAUGCAAGUCGCGCGAACGGACGAGAAGCUUGCUUCUCUGAUGUUAGCGGCGGACGGGUGAGUAACACGUGGAUAACCUACCUAUAAGACUGGGAUAACUUCGGGAAACCGGAGCUAAUACCGGAUAAUAUUUUGAACCGCAUGGUUCAAAAGUGAAAGACGGUCUUGCUGUCACUUAUAGAUGGAUCCGCGCUGCAUUAGCUAGUUGGUAAGGUAACGGCUUACCAGGGCAACGAUGCAUAGCCGACCUGAGAGGGUGAUCGGCCACACUGGAACUGAGACACGGUCCAGACUCCUACGGGAGGCAGCAGUAGGGAAUCUUCCGCAAUGGGCGAAAGCCUGACGGAGCAACGCCGCGUGAGUGAUGAAGGUCUUCGGAUCGUAAAACUCUGUUAUUAGGGAAGAACAUAUGUGUAAGUAACUGUGCACAUCUUGACGGUACCUAAUCAGAAAGCCACGGCUAACUACGUG